Molecule: ribosomal RNA, 896 nt
Filed under: uncultured bacterium
Lineage: Bacteria
Description: bacterial SSU rRNA
Rfam family: Bacterial small subunit ribosomal RNA
Source: RNAcentral
AGAGUUUGAUCCCUGGCUCAGGACGAACGCUGGCGGCGCGCUUCAAGGCAUGCAAGUCGAACGAGAAACCCGGGCUUGCCCGGGUGGAGAGUGGCGAACGGGUGAGUAACACGUGAGGAACCUGCCCCGAAGACCGGGAUAACGCCGGGAAACUGGUGCUAAUACCGGAUGCCCUCGCUGGAUCGCAUGGUCCGGCGAAGAAAUGGAUUCCGCUUCGGGAUGGCCUCGCGGCCUAUCAGCUUGUUGGUGGGGUAAUGGCCCACCAAGGCAGCGACGGGUAGCUGGUCUGAGAGGAUGUCCAGCCACACUGGGACUGAGACACGGCCCAGACUCCUACGGGAGGCAGCAGCUAGGAAUCUUGCGCAAUGGACGAAAGUCUGACGCAGCGACGCCGCGUGCGGGAUGAAGGCCCUAGGGUCGUAAACCGCUUUCAGCAGGGACGAAAUUGACGGUACCUGCAGAAGAAGCCCCGGCCAACUACGUGCCAGCAGCCGCGGUAAUACGUAGGGGGCGAGCGUUGUCCGGAUUUAUUGGGCGUAAAGAGCUCGUAGGCGGUUUGGUAAGUCGGACGUGAAAUCUCCAGGCUCAACUUGGAGGGGUCAUUCGAUACUGCCAUGACUAGAGUUCGGUAGGGGAAUGUGGAAUACCUGGUGGAGCGGUGAAAUGCGCAGAUAUCAGGUGGAACACCCGUAGCGAAGGCGGCAUUCUGGGCCGAUACUGACGCUGAGGAGCGAAAGCGUGGGGAGCGAACAGGAUUAGAUACCCUGGUAGUCCACGCCGUAAACGUUGGGCACUAGGUGUGGGGUUCUAUCGACGGAUUCCGUGCCGUAGCUAACGCAUUAAGUGCCCCGCCUGGGGAGUACGGCCGCAAGGCUAAAACUCAAAUGAAUUGACGG